CCGUCAAUUCCUUUAAGUUUUAGCCUUGCGGCCGUACUCCCCAGGCGGUCCACUUAAUGCGUUAGCUGCGGCACAGCGGGGGUCAAUACCCACUACGCCUAGUGGACACCGUUUACGGCGUGGACUACCAGGGUAUCUAAUCCUGUUUACUACCCACGCUUUCGUGUCUCAGCGUCAGUCUCCGUCCAGGGUGUCGCCUUCGCCACUGGUGUUCCUCCCGAUAUCUACGAAUUCCACCUCUACACCGGGAAUUCCACACCCCUCUCCAGGACUCAAGCUGGGCAGUAUCAGAUGCACUUCCUCGGUUAAGCCGAGGGCUUUCACAUUUGACUUACCCAGCCGCCUACACACGCUUUACGCCCAGUAAUUCCGAACAACGCUUGCACCCUCCGUAUUACCGCGGCUGCUGGCACGGAGUUAGCCGGUGCUUCCUUUGGUGGUACCGUCAGGCAAAGGGUUUAUUGGACCCAAUGCGGUUCUUCCCACCUGACAGGGCUUUACGACCCGAAGGCCUUCUUCA
This 520-nucleotide ribosomal RNA is filed under the name uncultured sulfate-reducing bacterium. RNAcentral's name for it is "partial 16S ribosomal RNA". The record is from RNAcentral.